GGACCCGCACAAGUAGUGGAGCAUGUGGUUUAAUUCGAAGAUACGCGCAGAACCUUACCAACACUUGACAUGUUUGUCGCGACUUUAAGAGAUUAAAGUCUUCGGUUCGGCCGGACAAAACACAGGUGCUGCAUGGCUGUCGUCAGCUCGUGUCGUGAGAUGUUGGGUUAAGUCCCGCAACGAGCGCAACCCUCACUUUUAGUUGCCAUCAUUUAGUUGGGCACUCUGAAAGAACUGCCAGUGAUAAGCUGGAGGAAGGUGGGGAUGACGUCAAGUCCUCAUGGCCCUUACGUGUUGGGCUACACACGUGCUACAAUGGUCACCACAAUGGGUCGCGAACCCGCGAGGGGGAGCUAAUCUCAAAAAAGUGGCCUCAGUACGGAUAGGAGUCUGCAACUCGACUCCUUGAAGUCGGAAUCGCUAGUAAUCGC
This 431-nucleotide ribosomal RNA is filed under the name uncultured bacterium. Its description in RNAcentral is "bacterial SSU rRNA". It matches the Rfam family "Bacterial small subunit ribosomal RNA", at positions 917 to 1345 of the family's 1533-position model. The record is from RNAcentral.